UACAGAGGUUGCGAGCGUUGUUCGGAUUUACUGGGCGUAAAGGGUGCGUAGGCGGUUCCGUAUGUCGGGUGUGAAAUCCUGCCGCUCAUCGGUAGAAUGGCAUUCGAAACUGCGGGGCUAGAGUACGGGAGAGGAGAGCGGAAUUCUCGGUGUAGCGGUGAAAUGCGUAGAUAUCGAGAGGAACGCCGGUGGCGAAGGCGGCUCUCUGGACCGAUACUGACGCUGAGGCACGAAAGCUGGGGGAGCAAACAGG
RNAcentral lists this ribosomal RNA (253 nucleotides) under uncultured bacterium. RNAcentral describes it as "partial 16S ribosomal RNA". It matches the Rfam family "Bacterial small subunit ribosomal RNA", at positions 524 to 776 of the family's 1533-position model. The record is from RNAcentral.